GACGAACGCUGGCGGCGUGCUUAACACAUGCAAGUCGAACGCUGAAGCCCUUUCGGGGGUGGAUGAGUGGCGAACGGGUGAGUAACACGUGGGUAAUCUGCCCUGUACUUCGGGAUAAGCCUUGGAAACGGGGUCUAAUACCGGAUAGGACCUGUCCUCGCAUGGGGGUGGGUGGAAAGUUCCAGCGGUAUGGGAUGAGCCCGCGGCCUAUCAGCUUGUUGGUGGGGUAGUGGCCUACCAAGGCGACGACGGGUAGCCGGGCUGAGAGGGUGACCGGUCACACUGAGACUGAGACACGGCCCAGACUGCGACGGGAGGCAGCAGUGGGGAAUCUUGCGCGAUGGGCGAAAGCCUGACGCAGCAACGCCGCGUGGGGGAUGACGGCCUUCGGGUUGUAAACCUCUUUCGACAUCGACGAAGGGGCCCUGUUGUGGGGUUUUGACGGUAGGUGUAGAAGAAGCACCGGCUAACUACGUGCCAGCCGCCGCGGUAA
RNAcentral lists this ribosomal RNA (493 nucleotides) under uncultured bacterium. Its description in RNAcentral is "partial 16S ribosomal RNA". It matches the Rfam family "Bacterial small subunit ribosomal RNA", at positions 28 to 523 of the family's 1533-position model. The record is from RNAcentral.